AGGAUGAACGCUGGCGGCGUGCCUAACACAUGCAAGUCGAACGUCCUGUCUCGCAAGAGGCAGGGAGUGGCGGACGGGUGAGUACCACGUGGGUCAUCUACCGUGAGGUGAGGAAUACCGGCGAGAAAUCGCCGACAAGACCGCAUAGGCUCGAUGCAAGUCGAGCAAAGCUCUUUCGAGAGAGGGAGCGCCACACGAGGAGCCUGCGCCCGAUUAGCUAGCUGGUGGAGUAACGGUUCACCAGGGCGACGAUCGGUAGCUGGUCUGAGAGGACGAUCAGCCACACUGGGAUUGAGAACGGCCCAGACUCCUACGGGGGGCAGCAGUGAGGAAUUUUCGUCAAUGGGGGCAACCCUGAACGAGCAACGCCGCGUGCAGGAAGAAGGUUUUCGGAUCGUAAACUGCUUUUCGUCGGGAAGAGAACGGACGGUACCCGAGGAAUCAGCCCCGGCUAACUACGUGCCAGCAGCCGCGGU
This 476-nucleotide ribosomal RNA is filed under the name uncultured bacterium. RNAcentral describes it as "SSU rRNA". It matches the Rfam family "Bacterial small subunit ribosomal RNA", at positions 26 to 521 of the family's 1533-position model. The record is from RNAcentral.